GCUGGGCGUGGUGGUGCAUGCCUGUGGUCCCAGCUGCUCAGGAGGCUGAGGUGGGAGGAUCACUUGGGCCCAGGAGGUCGAGGCUGCAGUGCGCCACUACAGUCUAGCCUGGGCAACAGAGCAAGACCCUGUCUCAA
RNAcentral lists this non-coding RNA (137 nucleotides) under Pan paniscus (pygmy chimpanzee). RNAcentral also lists the same sequence under 1 other name. Lineage: Eukaryota; Metazoa; Chordata; Mammalia; Primates; Hominidae. The record is from Rfam by way of RNAcentral.